Pseudophryne corroboree (corroboree frog) is the source of this 1410-nucleotide long non-coding RNA. RefSeq lists it as uncharacterized. The record is from RefSeq and is a predicted model, not a curated record. The transcript has 3 exons. NCBI's taxonomy places the organism in Eukaryota, Metazoa, Chordata, Amphibia, Anura, Myobatrachidae.
CAGUGGCUGCAGUGGUGAUGAGGAGGGAGAGGAGAGAGAAAGCAGAUGGGGGAGCUAAGGGGAAGCAGCGGCCAGCGGAGCGGUUAGAUGAGAUCGCAGAGAAGACGUAACUUAACGCUGCUGCGAAGUGCAUAAGUCAUUCUGACUCCUAGCAAGUCACAGUUUGACUCCCUGGUUCCUGAGUGUAUUCCACAGUUCCCAGUGAUUUGACCUUGCUUUGCCUUAUUCCUGGUCUGCAUUGCCUGCUGUCUACAGUUUUUCACUCGGCUUUCACCACAAUAGGAUUACACAGACUUAAGCCAUUAAUUUGUACCUUCAGUAAACCUGUAAGCUUCCUGGUUCUCAGUCUGCAACCACUACUGCUUGGUCAAGUGCCUAUGUUUCUAAGCUUCACUACAGACUAAAGUUCUGUAUAGAUGCCACCUGAGUCUGCAGCCUGCUUCUGAUUACAGUGCUCACCAUAGCCUUCUACAAGGAUGUUGUAGUGAUCCUGAACUUUGUCAUGUGAUUAACCUCUGUGUGCCAGUCAGCUGUAUUGGUUCAGUGAGUACUUUACCUCCAUGUCCAGUCAUUGCACCAGAACACAGCAGCACAGUCUCUCUCCACCAACAUCCAGUGGCAGUUUGCUCCUGUUCAAGUUCAGCCUUAUUCAGUCAGUACAGUGUGGCAUCUUAUCCUGUUUUAUCUUGCACUCUUCAGUGCUACAGCAGUGCAUCCAAGUCUGUCUCCAUUCCGGUUCAGGUUUCCAACUCCAGUCUGGUCCAAGUCUGUUCCAGCUCAAGUAUCUGACUCCAGUCCAAUCUAAGUCCAGUUCCAGUCUGCUCCAGUAUCCAAUUGAUUCCAGUCCAUUUCAGUAUCCAGUUCCAGUCAGACACUGGAAGCAACCCAGUGUCCAGUCAAUUCCAAGUUACUACAGCAACUGAACAGGACUGCCUGAUGCUGUGUCUGCUGACUAUCCUGACGGAUCUGGACAGGGCGGAUCCUGAUCAAUAGGUGCUGUUGUACGCAGUGGUGAGAAGAUGAUGGUAUAAGUGAGGGAAGAGGGCCCUGCUCAUAAGAGCUUACAGAUGCGUACGCCGUACAGACCGACAUUUACUAUUCAAUGUGGCCAGAGCCCAUGCCUCCCGGUUCACUCAUCUCUGUUUCACAGGUUUGUAAAUCAAGGGAUAAAAGCAGUGGCUGUCGUCAAGAUGUUCUUUUACUAACAAGCAAUAAAAGUAACUGACAUACUGUAAUUAGGCUGUGGUUUAUAUUUGGCUGUGAACCCAUUCACACUGGAACACAUACAGUAGUUGCCUACCCUCCCUCAUUCUGCAGGAGACUCCCUGAAAUAGCAGCGAUCUCCCUCACUCUCUGAAUAUACCAGCAAUCUCCCUGAUUGCACCUUAUCCCCAUUAUGCAGCUGUUACA